RNAcentral lists this non-coding RNA (32 nucleotides) under Mus musculus (house mouse). Lineage: Eukaryota; Metazoa; Chordata; Mammalia; Rodentia; Muridae. The record is from RNAcentral.
UGCAUGUGUGAAGAAAUAAAUAAGCGAAAAUG